RNAcentral lists this long non-coding RNA (1011 nucleotides) under Sorghum bicolor (sorghum). Its description in RNAcentral is "long non-coding RNA (SBIC_LNC003170)". Lineage: Eukaryota; Viridiplantae; Streptophyta; Magnoliopsida; Poales; Poaceae. The record is from RNAcentral.
GGAUUGAAAUGUUUGGAAAUCGGCUAUUGAAACUUCCUUUCCUUGUCUAGGAGAUGAUUCUUUCUCUAUCUCUAGGAAUUUUUUAUGAAGACUAGUGCAAGAAGGAUGUCCACAAAUGAAGACAUACCUUCCUUUACUAACUAGAUAAAGAAAGAAAAACUCUACCAAAGGUUAUAUGAUUAAGACCAAUGUGAAAAUAUCGAGGAAAAACAUGGUCUUGUAGGGCUAGGUUUAAACCAAAAUUUAUAGGAAGAUUAAUAGAUUCCCUAGGUGUAGCUAAAAGUUCAUUAUCUUCUUGAUUAAAAGAUAGGACCUCGGCUAUAGAAAAGGGUUGGUUUUGACCUAUUGUAAUCAACUCUAGACACAGAUCAUAAUUAGGGGCAGGACAUGUUGACUCCCAUGGUCUAUGGCUGGUCUCCGAAGGUGCAAAGAAUUCAAUAAUAGGUAUGGAAUUUGAGUUAUCCAUAAAGAUGGAAAAAAUAAAAAAGAUAAAAGAAUAAAAGUAUAAAAGUAUAAUACAAGAUAAUAGCAAGACUUAAAGUUAUCUCUGCAAACCGUCUUUAUCCCUGGCAAUGGCGCUAGAAGUGCUUGUUGAUAUUUGGUAACGCAAUAAGGAAAUGAUCUGCAACCGCACGGAUAUCGGUGAGCAUUUCACCCCGGAGGUUAUCCGGAGUAUCGUAUUUAUAUUUUUACCACUGGGAGAAAGCGUGCAUCUGACUAACCAAAUCUAUUGCUACUACCCUUUAGGCUACAAAGAAUGUUUCUUGAUGUGAGCGAUGUAUAGAGAAGACUGCAAUCGUGGUCUCAUUCUAACCUUGGUAAGGAUGAUCUACUGUUCUAUUGGGGAAGCUUACAGAAUCUAGACACCACAGAGGAUGUUCGACCUGCACCUAUAAACCCUAUCCUUCCUACUAACGAGAUAUGGGCUUCAAAGGUAACUCGGAAAUGUCACGUUCCUCGCUACUACCACGGUCCAGCUAGUCAGGGGAUAUCUAUGAGUACCCUAGCCCA